RNAcentral lists this ribosomal RNA (593 nucleotides) under Colletotrichum queenslandicum. RNAcentral's name for it is "eukaryotic LSU rRNA". The stretch from base 231 to 384 matches the Rfam family "5.8S ribosomal RNA". The record is from RNAcentral. Lineage: Eukaryota; Fungi; Ascomycota; Sordariomycetes; Glomerellales; Glomerellaceae.
UAGAGGAAGUAAAAGUCGUAACAAGGUCUCCGUUGGUGAACCAGCGGAGGGAUCAUUACUGAGUUUACGCUCUAUAACCCUUUGUGAACAUACCUAUAACUGUUGCUUCGGCGGGUAGGGUCUCCGCGACCCUCCCGGCCUCCCGCCCCCGGGCGGGUCGGCGCCCGCCGGAGGAUAACCAAACUCUGAUUUAACGACGUUUCUUCUGAGUGGUACAAGCAAAUAAUCAAAACUUUUAACAACGGAUCUCUUGGUUCUGGCAUCGAUGAAGAACGCAGCGAAAUGCGAUAAGUAAUGUGAAUUGCAGAAUUCAGUGAAUCAUCGAAUCUUUGAACGCACAUUGCGCCCGCCAGCAUUCUGGCGGGCAUGCCUGUUCGAGCGUCAUUUCAACCCUCAAGCUCUGCUUGGUGUUGGGGCCCUACAGCUGAUGUAGGCCCUCAAAGGUAGUGGCGGACCCUCCCGGAGCCUCCUUUGCGUAGUAACUUUACGUCUCGCACUGGGAUCCGGAGGGACUCUUGCCGUAAAACCCCCAACUUUCCAAAGGUUGACCUCGGAUCAGGUAGGAAUACCCGCUGAACUUAAGCAUAUCAAUA